Molecule: long non-coding RNA, 224 nt
Filed under: Malus domestica (apple)
Lineage: Eukaryota; Viridiplantae; Streptophyta; Magnoliopsida; Rosales; Rosaceae
Description: long non-coding RNA (MDOM_LNC016260)
Source: RNAcentral
AGGAACAUAUAGGGCAAGUAAGAAGGAUACAAGGAAGCAUGUGGAGACAAGCACAACAGAACACGUGCCGAUUCAUCUAUUACUUUGUCAACAGCAAAAGUAUCCCAUAUCAUCAAGGUUGAACGCACUCUUGAUUUGAUGGACUUGUUUUGACCCUCAAAUUCUUGAGUCGACCUUAUACUCUAAGGGAAACUAGAAAACCUUCCAGCCCAGUUCAAGAAUAA